This 494-nucleotide ribosomal RNA is filed under the name uncultured bacterium. RNAcentral's name for it is "bacterial SSU rRNA". It matches the Rfam family "Bacterial small subunit ribosomal RNA", at positions 903 to 1397 of the family's 1533-position model. The record is from RNAcentral.
AAAUGAAUAGACGGGGGCCCGCACAAGCAGUGGAGUAUGUGGUUUAAUUCGAAGCAACGCGAAGAACCUUACCAGGGCUUGACAUAUAGUGGAAUAACCUAGAGAUAGGUUAGCUCUUCGGAGCUGCUAUACAGGUGGUGCAUGGUUGUCGUCAGCUCGUGUCGUGAGAUGUUGGGUUAAGUCCCGCAACGAGCGCAACCCCUGUUGCUAGUUGGUAACACAUAAUGGUGACCUCUCUAGCGAGACUGCCGGUGACAAAUCGGAGGAAGGUGGGGACGACGUCAAAUCAUCAUGCCCCUUAUGUCCUGGGCUACACACGUACUACAAUGGCUGUAACAGAGGGAAGCGAAGCUGCAAAGUGGAGCCAAUCCUAGAAAAGCAGCCUCAGUUCGGAUUGUGGGCUGAAACCCGCCCACAUGAAGUCGGAAUUGCUAGUAAUGGCAGGUCAGCAUACUGCCGUGAAUACGUUCCCGGGCCUUGUACACACCGCCCGU